Long non-coding RNA from Ixodes scapularis (black-legged tick), 305 nucleotides. RefSeq lists it as uncharacterized. NCBI's taxonomy places the organism in Eukaryota, Metazoa, Arthropoda, Arachnida, Ixodida, Ixodidae. The record is from RefSeq and is a predicted model, not a curated record. The transcript is spliced from 3 exons.
GCAUCAAUCUAAUAUUGUUUGCAGAUGGCAUCACAGAGUAGCAAGCAGACAAGCAUCGAGUCUGGGGGGUCCCGCUUCAUCUUUGACUGGAAUCCCAAGCACAAGCAGGGAACGAACUAGCAGCGGCAGCCGAGGUGGGCAUGAGGGCCUGCACCUUUUAUGUACAGCCGUUGAAUUCAGAGAGGAGAGACAACCUUCCGUGGAAGAUCAGACUGAUGACCCGGAGAUUAGUGCAACAGAUGGGAUCCUCCAGGACCAAGCAUCAGGGCUUGACAGCCCAGGCCCAGCUUGGCAUCAAAACUUUG